RNAcentral lists this ribosomal RNA (252 nucleotides) under uncultured bacterium. Its description in RNAcentral is "partial 16S ribosomal RNA". It matches the Rfam family "Bacterial small subunit ribosomal RNA", at positions 524 to 776 of the family's 1533-position model. The record is from RNAcentral.
UACGGGGGGGGCAAGCGUUGUUCGGAAUUACUGGGCGUAAAGGGCUCGUAGGCGGCCAACUAAGUCGGACGUGAAAUCCCUCGGCUUAACCGGGGAACUGCGUCCGAUACUGGAUGGCUUGAGUUCGGGAGAGGGAUGCGGAAUUCCAGGUGUAGCGGUGAAAUGCGUAGAUAUCUGGAGGAACACCGGUGGCGAAGGCGGCAUCCUGGACCGACACUGACGCUGAGGAGCGAAAGCCGGGGAGCAAACGGG